This 209-nucleotide ribosomal RNA is filed under the name uncultured bacterium. RNAcentral's name for it is "partial 16S ribosomal RNA". It matches the Rfam family "Bacterial small subunit ribosomal RNA", at positions 568 to 774 of the family's 1533-position model. The record is from RNAcentral.
AGCGCAGACGGCGAAGCAAGUCUGAAGUGAAGUGCAUGGGCUCAACCCAUGAAUUGCUUUGGAAAACUGUUUGGCUUGAGUGUCGGAGGGGUAAGCGGAAUUCCUAGUGUAGCGGUGAAAUGCGUAGAUAUUAGGAGGAACACCGGGAGGCGAGGGCGGCUUACUGGACGACAACUGACGUUGAGGCUCGAAGGCGUGGGGAGCAAACA